AACGAACGCUGGCGGCAGGCCUAACACAUGCCAGUCGAGCGAGGACUUCGGUUCUAGCGGCGGACGGGUGAGUAACGCGUGGGAAUGUGCCCUUCUCUACGGAAUAGCCCUGGGAAGCUGGGAGUAAUACCGUAUACGCCCUAUUGGGGAAAGAUUUAUCGGAGAAGGAUCAGCCCGCGUUGGAUUAGGUAGUUGGUGGGGUAAUGGCCUACCAAGCCGACGAUCCAUAGCUGGUUUGAGAGGAUGAUCAGCCACACUGGGACUGAGACACGGCCCAGACUCCUACGGGAGGCAGCAGUGGGGAAUCUUAGACAAUGGGGGCAACCCUGAUCUAGCCAUGCCGCGUGAGUGAUGAAGGCCUUAGGGUUGUAAAGCUCUUUCAGCUGGGAAGAUAAUGACGGUACCAGCAGAAGAAGCCCCGGCUAACUCCGUG
This 433-nucleotide ribosomal RNA is filed under the name uncultured bacterium. RNAcentral's name for it is "partial 16S ribosomal RNA". It matches the Rfam family "Bacterial small subunit ribosomal RNA", at positions 29 to 507 of the family's 1533-position model. The record is from RNAcentral.